RNAcentral lists this ribosomal RNA (381 nucleotides) under uncultured bacterium. RNAcentral describes it as "bacterial SSU rRNA". It matches the Rfam family "Bacterial small subunit ribosomal RNA", at positions 29 to 412 of the family's 1533-position model. The record is from RNAcentral.
AUUAAACGCUGGCGGCAUGCCUUACACAUGCAAGUCGAACGGCAGCACGGGGGCAACCUUAGUGGCGAGUGGCGAACGGGUGAGUAAAGCAUCGGAACGUGCCCUGGAGUGGGGGAUAACGUAGCGAAAGUUACGCUAAUACCGCAUAUUCUGUGAGCAGGAAAGCAGGGGAUCGCAAGACCUUGCGCUCUGGGAGCGGCCGAUGUCGGAUUAGCUAGUUGGUGGGUAAAGGCCUACCAAGGCGACGAUCCGUAGCGGGUCUGAGAGGAUGAUCCGCCACACUGGGACUGAGACACGGCCCAGACUCCUACGGGAGGCAGCAGUGGGGAAUUUUGGACAAUGGGCGCAAGCCUGAUCCAGCCAUGCCGCGUGAGUGAAGAA